GGGAGAUGGGGAAUAAGAGAGAACCCCUAGAAAACCUUUAGGCCCUGAGAUGAGGAUUCUGUGUCACAAUCUUUAUAUACAAAGAUGUACUCUAAACCUGGGAUUAUUUAGUGAAAGCAUUUACAGUAUUGCCAGACCCCCAAGGAGAAAGGAAAAAUCAGAAAAUGAAGAGGCAAUUAGUUUGGUGAGAUGCAAUGACUAACAUCACUGCAUAUCUGAGCCAAUAUAUAGGAGAUGCCACCAGCAGAUGUGACAUUCUGCCUUUUAAGUCCUCAAGUGUGCAGAGCUCCAGAGAGGUCAGAGUCUGAAGCAGCCCUUGUUGGGGCUGGAGGGGUCUUCUGUGAGAUCUCAACCCCUUUGACUUCUCAAGAUACACAGAUUCACUUCCUGGGAGCCAGUAUGCCUCCACCCCACAACAGAGCACCAUGUCUACUGUCACUGACACACAAAUCCUGAGAUGUGCUGUCUUGUAUGGUUUAACCUUUUCUCAGUUCGAGCAGAAACACCAAUCAGCCAGACCAUCGACCUCGACAGAAUUAGCGUUAUCACAACUGUCAGUUGGAUUGCUGCUUGUAGUUCUGUGCAAGGACAAGGGAUGACUAGGGAGUUGAUGAUGUGCUCUUCCUUUGGCAGUCAAUCUAUCAUGAAGGAGGGCUCAUGAAUGCAGAUGCAGUCUCAGGAGCAACUGACUGGAUUGCAGUGGGAAGAGAGUCUGAUGCUACAGCACAGACCUGCCCACCCCAGCACGUACCUCUCUGACUCAACAGCCACCUUUUCCUCUUGGGCUCUCGGGGAGAUAAUGAGCCUGGCUAAAUUCACUGAGGCCAACCUGAUUUGCAUCCUUCCUUUCUACUAUACAUCCAGCCAUCAAACUUCCUGUUCCUGAACUCAUUGAUUGGGAUACUCAUUCAAAUAUUUGUUUCCAGGCUUUUCAAGCUAUGAAAAUGCUGUCUUGCUUUCCCAAACCAUGGCUACUUCUCUGGGAAUAGCUUUAUUUGGCUGUGAUGAAUCCAGGCCCUGCAUAUCCAGGCUGCUGCAUGAGAUGCUGGAGACUACUAUAGAAACCGAGGAUUUAUUGUGAAUCUCCAAUCAGUCCAUCAAUUCCCUAAAUAUAGGACCCAUGAACUGCAUUUAUUUCUCAUUUAUUCUGUUCUAGUGUAAGGCUAAGUAAUAGUUCACCACCAGUAAGUGUUGGCGUUACUGAAUGAGUAAGAAUGGAAGAACUGAAUGUUGUCUGGAGGCUGGGACCUCAACCAUCAUGGGUUGAAUGUGGCGCCUACAAAGGGUAUGUCCUAACUCUUAGGAUCUAUGAAUAAGACCUUAUUUGGAAAAUGGGUCUUUGCAGACUCGGAAGUUAAGAAUCUUAAGAUGAGAUGGUCCUAGAGAAUCCAGGUGGGCCCUGAAUCCAAUAGUGUCAUUGAGACACACAGAGGAGGAGGACACCAGAAAAGGAGGAGAGGGCCACAGGAAGAGGGAAGCAGAGACUGGAUGCAGCUGCAACCCAAGGAACACCAGAAGCCACCAAAAGAAGAGGCAGGAAAGGGAUUUCCCCUAGAACCCUCAGAGGUAGUGCACCCUGCCAACAAUUUGAUUUCAGCCUUUUGGUCUCCCCAACUAUAAGAGAAUAAAUCUGUGUUGUUUUAAGCCAUCAAGUUGUGGAAGCCACAAGGAAAUGCACCCAUCAACCUUCACUCCUUUAGUGUGCUCUCUUACCACAUUCAGGAAGCAGGGGUCACUCAGCCCCUACUGUGAGACAGGAAGAGAGAGGGCUGCAGGAGACACAGAAGCUCCGGAGAGGAGAGGAGGGGACACACAGGGCGGGCAGUGCUGCCUGGAGAAAUGAGGAGAGAGAGCAAAAAAAAAAAAAAAACAAAAAAAAACAAAGAAGAGAAGCAAAAGAAAAAAACAAGGUGAGAAUGAGUUGGCCUCUGCUCAGACACUCGCCUUUGUCCCUAUCCUUUCUCUAGUCUCUCUCCUUCCCUCCCUCAGCAUCUCUCCGGCCCUCAGGCAUUCUGCUGCACUAAGCUAGUGCAUGUUUGUGCUGCUUAGAGUUUCUGUCCUGUCCCACAUUUCUGGUUACAAUCUGCAGGCACCAGUGAGAGGGUUAGAAGCUCGAGGAGAGGCACAUGCUCCCCCAGGGAGCACCUGCUCCACCAGCCCACGCUGACCCUAACCCAGCAUGCUGGCAUUCAGGGUCUCCUGCGCCCAGACAGCACCCUCCAAACUUAACUGUGUUUCCGGUGUCUGCCUGGAAUGCUCUGUGGUCAUGCCUUUCUGCCACCCUACCUUCCCCCUAGCAGGAGUGCAUGAAACAAAGGAAGGAACCCAGAAUUGCAAAUUGUGCAGUUCCAAAAUUUCCAAAGGCUGGAUGGAGAUUGUGGUUAUUUCUGCUGUUCACAUUCUGGGUUUGCCUGAGGGACUCUAGUCGUCUCUGUGCUGCCUCUAGUAGUCACUGGUAGUAGUGUUCCCCUACAGGGUGUCCUGGUCCACAAAUUUCUCACCCUGUUUUUAAAAUUUUCCAUGUGUGUUUUUUUAUUAAGAUUGUAUUUAUUUAUCCAUGAG
Long non-coding RNA from Canis lupus familiaris (dog), 2562 nucleotides. RefSeq lists it as uncharacterized. NCBI's taxonomy places the organism in Eukaryota, Metazoa, Chordata, Mammalia, Carnivora, Canidae. The transcript is spliced from 4 exons. The record is from RefSeq and is a predicted model, not a curated record.